UUUCACCCUUGUCCUUCCAUUGGUGCCUGGGUGGAGCCGCCCCCACUGCGGGGGCCCCGGGGCGAGAGGGAGUAGAGGCCGGGGCAGAGGGCGAGGGCGGAGGGCGCUGGCGGCGGAGGCCGCAGAAGAUGAGCAGCAGCUGCUCAGGGCUGAGCAGGGUCCUGGUGGCCGUGGCUAUAGCCCUGGUGUCCACCUCCUCCCCCUGCCCCCAGGCCUGGGGCCCCCCAGGGGUCCAGUAUGGGCAGCCUGGCAGGUCCAUGACACUGUGUUGCCCUGGAGUGACUUCUGGGGCCCCGGUGUCCUGGUUUCGGGAUGGGGAGACAAGGCUGCUCCAAGGACCUGACUCUGGGCUAGGGCAUGAACUGGUCUUGGCCCGGGCAGACAGCACUGAUGAAGGCACCUACAUCUGCCGGACCCUGGAUGGUGCACUUAAGGGCAUUGUGACCCUACAGCUGGGCUACCCCCCAGCCCGCCCUGUUGUCUCCUGCCAAGCAGCUGACUAUGAGAACUUCUCCUGCACUUGGAGCCCCAGUCAGGUCAGCGGUUUACCCACCCGCUACCUCACCUCCUACAGGAAGAAGACAGUACCAGGAGCUGAUGGCCAGAGGAUGAGUCCAUCCACAGGGCCCUGGCCAUGCCCACAGGAUCCCCCAGGGGCUUCCCGCUGUGUAGUCCAUGGGGCAGAAUUCUGGAGCCAGUACCGAAUCAAUGUGACUGAGGUGAACCCCCUAGGGGUCAGUACACGCCUGCUGGAUGUGAGCUUGCAGAGCAUCUUGCGCCCUGACCCACCUCAGGGGCUUCGAGUAGAGUCGGUACCUGGCUACCCCCGCCGCCUGCGUGCCAGCUGGACAUACCCGGCCUCCUGGCCCCGCCAGCCCCACUUUCUGCUCAAGUUCCGACUGCAGUACCGUCCAGCGCAGCAUCCAGCCUGGUCCACGGUGGAGCCAGCUGGAUUGGAGGAAGUGAUCACGGAUGCUGUGGCUGGGCUGCCCCAUGCUGUACGAGUCAGUGCCCGGGACUUUCUGGAUGCUGGCACCUGGAGUGCCUGGAGCCCUGAGGCCUGGGGGACUCCAAGCAUUGGGCCCCUGCCAAAGGAGAUACCAGCUGGGGGCCAGCCACACAAGCAGCUGGAGGAGGAGCCUCAGGCAGACUGCCCCGCUUCCCCCAGGCCCUCCCUCUUGCCAGAUCCACGGCCACUUGACCACAGGGACCCCCUGGAGCAGGUAGCGGUGCUGGCAUCUUUGGGAAUAUUCUCUUUCCUCGGACUGGCGGCUGGGGCCCUGGCACUGGGGCUCUGGCUGAGACUGAGACCAGAUGGUAAGGAUGGACCCCAAAAGCCUGGGUUCUUGGCUCCAGUGAUUCCAGUGGACAAACUUCCAGAUCUCCAUCAGCUGGCUGUCUGCCAUAUACUUUGUGGUCUUUUCUGGACCAAUCGGUCCAGACACCUGGGAAGGCAAGAAAUGAGUUCUUUUGGAGUUCUGCGAUUUCCAGAUGAUGUCCAUCGAGGGCUGUUCUGGGGUGUACAGAGCUGGUGACCUCUCAGCACAGUGAACCUGGAAUCAGAAGGAAUGGAACAGCCCUGAAACCCAGCUUCCUGGCAGGCCCUGGUGUGAGGGGCAGAAACUGAGGACCAUAUCUGGGAACCUGUUUCAGGGGCUUCCUUGUGGGGAGGAGCUUGGCAAGGAGAAGGGGAGUAAGAUGGGGAGACCAAGAAAUCAGUAUGCUGAGAAGAGGAGAGGUGCUGUGCGGGGGGCCAUGGAAGAUGGAUAGAGAUGGACAAAUGGGUAGAAUUUUUGGGAGCAGCAAAUGUGUGGCUUGCAGGAAUCCUUCUGCUUUGUGU
RNA transcript from Felis catus (domestic cat), 1840 nucleotides. It is a transcript of the gene named interleukin 11 receptor subunit alpha, with no coding region annotated. The transcript is spliced from 15 exons. Lineage: Eukaryota; Metazoa; Chordata; Mammalia; Carnivora; Felidae. The record is from RefSeq and is a predicted model, not a curated record.